GCUACAUUAAAUCCAUUCUUAAUUUUUUAUCUAAAGAAAAUUUUAAGUUUUUUUAUUUCUUUUUUGCUUUGAUAUAAAAUUAAAAAUGUUCUGGUAUGGCACACAGACAUAACGUGCCGGUAGUUGUUUGGUAUGAUUAUGGGCACUGAGAUUUAAAUCCUUGGUCAACAUUAACCAAGUUUGAUGCUGUCAUCUUCCUUGAGUGUAUAAUCUGUUAAAUAUAAAAAUCAGUUUCUUGUCCACUUUGAUUGCUUAUUUGUAGGCAUUAUCCUGGCAUCUUCUUUUUUAUUUUUUAGGAAAUAAUCUUGCAAUCGAUUCCUAAAUGAUCUUAACUGGUAGCACCAUGCAAAGGGAGUGGUUUCACAAACAGUCAACAGGAUCACAGUGGGUUCAGGUUGUGGUUUUGUUUGCUGAGAACUAAGGUUCAUAGCAAGGACUUGUAGCUUCUGAUUGCUGCUUGCUUUGUUUUAUAGCUUGCAGUUGAUGAUACCACAAGCAAUCUAUUUUUUUGGGUCACGACACACAUACGAGGCAUGAGUAUGCCUAGAUUUUUACAUGCUUAUAUAGAGGUCAGAAAUUUUAAGCAUUCUUUUGAACCCAUUCAUGACGAACUAUUAGUAGUUUAAGCACAGCUGGCACCAAAUCCAAUUUGAGCAGCUAGUUGUUCAUAG
RNAcentral lists this long non-coding RNA (671 nucleotides) under Phoenix dactylifera (date palm). RNAcentral's name for it is "long non-coding RNA (PDAC_LNC009709)". The record is from RNAcentral. Lineage: Eukaryota; Viridiplantae; Streptophyta; Magnoliopsida; Arecales; Arecaceae.